RNAcentral lists this ribosomal RNA (503 nucleotides) under uncultured bacterium. RNAcentral describes it as "partial 16S ribosomal RNA". It matches the Rfam family "Bacterial small subunit ribosomal RNA", at positions 30 to 523 of the family's 1533-position model. The record is from RNAcentral.
AUUGAACGCUGGCGGCAGGCUUAACACAUGCAAGUCGAGCGGGGUGAUGGUGCUUGCACUAUCACUUAGCGGCGGACGGGUGAGUAAUGCUUAGGAAUCUGCCUAUUAGUGGGGGACAACAUCUCGAAAGGAAUGCUAAUACCGCAUACGUCCUACGGGAGAAAGCAGGGGAUCACUUGUGACCUUGCGCUAAUAGAUGAGCCUAAGUCGGAUUAGCUAGUUGGUGGGGUAAAGGCCUACCAAGGCGACGAUCUGUAGCGGGCCUGAGAGGAUGAUCCGCCACAUUGGGACUGGGACACGGCCCAGACUCCUACGGGAGGCAGCAGUGGGGAUUAUUGGACAAUGGGGGGAACCCUGAUCCAGCCAUGCCGCGUGUGUGAAGAAGGCCUUAUGGUUGUAAAGCACUUUAAGCGAGGAGGAGGCUCUUUUGGUUAAUACCCAAGAUGAGUGGACGUUACUCGCAGAAUAAGAACCGGCUAACUCUGUGCCAGCAGCCGCCGUAA